CGCCUUUUGAAUUUUUAACAUAAAAGGUCCUGCCUGCCCAGUGACACUGUUCAACGGCCGCGGUAUUAUGACCGUGCAAAGGUAGCGUAAUCACUUGUCUUUUAAAUAAAGACCAGUAUGAACGGCAAAACGAGGGCCUAACUGUCUCACUAGACCAGUCAGUGAAAUUAAUUUUCCAGUGCAGAAGCUGGAAUAUUUAUAUAAGACGAAAAGACCCUGUGGAGCUUUAAACCUAGGCUAAUAUACAUUAUAUUAUAGCACCAGGUUUUAGGUUGGGGCGACCAUAAGAAAAACAAACUCUUAAGACAUUAACAAGAAGGACACUUCAAGCAAAUAGUAAUACUAAUAUAUUGACCCAAUAUUUGAUCAACGAACCAAGUUACCCCAGGGAUAACAGCGCAAUCCACUCACAGAGCCCAUAUCGACGAGCGGGUUUACGACCUCGAUGUUGGAUCAGGACCACCUAAUGGUGCAACAACUAUUAAAGGUUCGUUUGUUCAACGAUUAAAGUCCU
RNAcentral lists this ribosomal RNA (514 nucleotides) under Nototriton tapanti. RNAcentral describes it as "partial large subunit ribosomal RNA". It matches the Rfam family "Bacterial large subunit ribosomal RNA", at positions 1816 to 2597 of the family's 2925-position model. The record is from RNAcentral. Lineage: Eukaryota; Metazoa; Chordata; Amphibia; Caudata; Plethodontidae.